RNAcentral lists this ribosomal RNA (428 nucleotides) under uncultured bacterium. Its description in RNAcentral is "bacterial SSU rRNA". It matches the Rfam family "Bacterial small subunit ribosomal RNA", at positions 29 to 458 of the family's 1533-position model. The record is from RNAcentral.
AUUGAACGCUGGCGGCAUGCCUUACACAUGCAAGUCGAACGGCAGCACGGGAGCAAUCCUGGUGGCGAGUGGCGAACGGGUGAGUAAUACAUCGGAACGUGCCCAGUAGUGGGGGAUAGCCCGGCGAAAGCCGGAUUAAUACCGCAUACGACCUACGGGUGAAAGCGGGGGAUCGCAAGACCUCGCGCUAUUGGAGCGGCCGAUGUCAGAUUAGGUAGUUGGUGAGGUAAAGGCUCACCAAGCCUUCGAUCUGUAGCUGGUCUGAGAGGACGACCAGCCACACUGGGACUGAGACACGGCCCAGACUCCUACGGGAGGCAGCAGUGGGGAAUUUUGGACAAUGGGCGCAAGCCUGAUCCAGCCAUGCCGCGUGCGGGAAGAAGGCCUUCGGGUUGUAAACCGCUUUUGUCAGGGAAGAAACGCUCUGG